This 269-nucleotide ribosomal RNA is filed under the name Escherichia coli. RNAcentral's name for it is "partial 16S ribosomal RNA". It matches the Rfam family "Bacterial small subunit ribosomal RNA", at positions 514 to 782 of the family's 1533-position model. Lineage: Bacteria; Pseudomonadati; Pseudomonadota; Gammaproteobacteria; Enterobacterales; Enterobacteriaceae. The record is from RNAcentral.
GCCGCGGUAAUACAGAGGGUGCAAGCGUUAAUCGGAAUUACUGGGCGUAAAGCGCGCGUAGGUGGUUAGUUAAGUUGGAUGUGAAAUCCCCGGGCUCAACCUGGGAACUGCAUUCAAAACUGACUGACUAGAGUAUGGUAGAGGGUGGUGGAAUUUCCUGUGUAGCGGUGAAAUGCGUAGAUAUAGGAAGGAACACCAGUGGCGAAGGCGACCACCUGGACUGAUACUGACACUGAGGUGCGAAAGCGUGGGGAGCAAACAGGAUUAGA